CCUGAGAAACCCAAAAGAUCGAAUGGGGAGAUUCAUCGUCAGCUCAUUUUAUAUAUAUGCUAGUUAUGAUAUGGGUUACUACUUGUAGUAUUGCCUGUACAUUCUUGUAUAUUUAAUUGUAAGAUGUUGUCGGCGUGCACUUCUCCCCUAGUAGGACGUCGCGACCCGUUGAGUGUUGGUCUACGGCCCAAGUGGGAGCUUUUAAUGAAUUUUAUUCAUUGAAAACCCUGGUGUUUCCUGACUGGCACUCGUCGGUAUUCGUAUGGUAUUGAGCCGCAUAAAUUAUAUGCGUCCAUAUCUGUCGCAAGCGAGGUUAGUUACUGAUAGUACGGACCUGGCGCCGUCGUUGGUACUAAUCAGCUGUUGGUUGUACAGAAUUCUAGGACUGGCUCGCUGAAAUACCGGUCAGCGA
Molecule: ribosomal RNA, 412 nt
Filed under: Curriea sp.
Lineage: Eukaryota; Metazoa; Arthropoda; Insecta; Hymenoptera; Braconidae
Description: eukaryotic LSU rRNA
Source: RNAcentral